Molecule: ribosomal RNA, 275 nt
Filed under: uncultured bacterium
Lineage: Bacteria
Description: partial 16S ribosomal RNA
Source: RNAcentral
CUGCUGCCUCCCGUAGGAGUCUGGUCCGUGUCUCAGUACCAGUGUGGGGGACCUUCCUCUCAGAACCCCUACGCAUCGUCGCCUUGGUGGGCCGUUACCCCGCCAACUAGCUAAUGCGACGCAUGACCAUCCGUAGCCGGAAUCGCUUCCUUUAAACCCAGGAGAUGCCUCCUCGGGUUGUUACGCGGUAUUAGACGGAAUUUCUUCCGCUUAUCCCCCUGCUACGGGCAGGUUUCAUACGUGUUACUCACCCGUGCGCCGGUCGCCGGCGGGAG